CAGUAUAGCAUCUCCC
RNAcentral lists this transfer RNA (16 nucleotides) under Mugilogobius abei (Abe's mangrove goby). RNAcentral describes it as "partial tRNA-Val". Lineage: Eukaryota; Metazoa; Chordata; Actinopteri; Gobiiformes; Gobiidae. The record is from RNAcentral.